RNAcentral lists this ribosomal RNA (207 nucleotides) under uncultured delta proteobacterium. RNAcentral describes it as "partial 16S ribosomal RNA". It matches the Rfam family "Bacterial small subunit ribosomal RNA", at positions 568 to 774 of the family's 1533-position model. Lineage: Bacteria; Deltaproteobacteria. The record is from RNAcentral.
CGUGUAGGCGGUUUUGUAAGUCUGAUGUGAAAGCCCUGGGCUCAACCUGGGAAGUGCAUUGGAUACUGCAAGACUUGAGUACGGGAGAGGGCAGUGGAAUUCCUAGUGUAGGAGUGAAAUCCGUAGAUAUUAGGAGGAACACCGGUGGCGAAGGCGGCUGCCUGGACCGAUACUGACGCUGAGACGCGAAAGCGUGGGGAGCAAACA